Molecule: long non-coding RNA, 5552 nt
Filed under: Homo sapiens (human)
Lineage: Eukaryota; Metazoa; Chordata; Mammalia; Primates; Hominidae
Description: novel transcript
Source: RNAcentral
ACAGGUUGUGGCUGAGCUCGGGGCCGGGGCAGCGGCGCUUGCCCUUGGGAGGGAGAAAACAGGCAAAGGACAGGAUGUGGUGAGCGUCGGCCCGCGAAACCCCGCGGCCACAGCCUGAGGAAGUCUGUAGACAACAGGCUCGGCACGAAGGAGAAAGAGCUGACGUGGCUGUGAGGUGCCGCUGGUGGGAGCAGAGCUGGGAAGGGAGCCUGGGUGUGACUGUGGGGCUGGGAGUGAGCGGGGAGAGGGACAGGAGACGGGAAGGGGCUGCUGGAGCGCAGGAGGACGGCCAGAGGUGCGCGGGCCCCCACCGCAGCCCCAGCUCCCAGAUGGUGCACGGACCAACCACUCAACAAUCAGCCUCGGAGGAAUUGUCUUCUCGCACCUGUGAAGUGCUAUUGGAUUCACCCACUGUGCCAGCCCCUUCCUACGAACAGUCGGUCUCACUCUGCUACUCGUGUCUCGAGGCUUCUCUACACGCCCAUCAUAUUGAUGCUGUCGUACUCAUGGUUCUUUUCUUUUGUGCCAGUUUUUCUGUUAUAUGCAAGAAGAUGCUCUCUGCCCGCAGGACCAUACGGACACUCUUCUUUCUCCCGUCACGUUGGAAUUCUUGUUUCUCUGCUUAGAGCUUUAACCUCAGUGGGAUCCAGUUUUGUGAAUGGUGUAAAUGAGGGAUUUGGCUCAUUUACUGGCUGUGAGUCCUGUGCCCAGAGCUACACUUCCCGUGAGCAUGUUUGCCACUUAAUGCCGGACACCGGCCCUGCUCCCGGCCCUGCUCCCGGCCUUGCCCCCUGGUCUGCCCCCUGCCCUGCUCCCGGCCUUGCUCCCUGCCCCCUGCCCUGCCCCCUGCCCUGCUCCCUGCCCUGCUCCUGGCCUCUGCCACUUUUCACAGUCUUCUGUCCCAGGUCUGCCACUUACCUGCCCAGCAGGGGUGAGAUCCCUCAGGGAGUCGGAGAUAGAGCCUCUUCCUGUCCUUCCAAGGGGAGCAGUGUAUGGAGGCUUUGGAGGAUGUUUCUGACAACACUGGGGUGUGCACCGUUCCAGCUCCCAGGUUCCAAGGUGGAAGUCACCAGAAGGAAGAACAGAAGCAAAGACAAUGCCAGGCUAAAGCAGGAGCCCACCCUUCCUGUCUGGGGGCCGCACCCGGGGCUGCUGACCUGGUGGCUACUCAGCAUGGUGCCUGAGCGUUCACAGACGUUGAGUGACCCUGAGCGUUCACGGGCACUGAGUGACCCCACUGCCCUCUUUGGAAGCGUCCUGGGGGCAGAUUUGCCGUGGUCCUUGUGCAGCCGAUGUCUGUCCCACCUGGAGCGACUGACCCACCUGUGGUGAUGGGGUGGAUGGAGACAGGCCCUCUGUUAGAGGCAAUCGGAGCAAAUUAUCAAACUCUAAAGCCAGAGGACCCUUAGGGCUUCACUGAGUGGUGGCAGGAGCCACGUGACACAGCCGGAAACCCCAUCCAUGCCCUGGGGAGAUUUUCCCUUGGUGAGGGACCCUGCAGUGCGGCCCAGCCUUUCAGCCUUUCUGCUUUCCUUUAUUCUGUUUCUGCUGUCUUUCCUGGACCAGCAAGGUGGCUAACUAGGAAUUCGUAUCGCAGCUGUCACGAUCUCUUUCGUGUCUAUAGCAUGAACUGCGAUUUCCUUCCCUCCUGGGCUGUGUUGUGGAAAAGAUGAGCCCACGGAGGGUGUCUGGAAUAAACGGGGAAUCCUCCCACCAGCACGCCCGCCUCUGCUGGGAGCAUGAGGCAGCACGAUUCUCUGGGCGGCAGCUUGUCUCCACCGCGGGGCUCUAACCGAUCUGCCACCAGAGCCACUGACGUCCUUCCCCAGCCAGGAGCCUCUGCAGUCCCUGCUCCCACCCUCAAGGGCACACGAGUUCAGAGUCAUUCCCAGGUUGCACGGAGCAGUUUGAGGAGGGAAUGGAUGGGGUCUCCUCCCGUCGAAUGGCUCCCCUGGCUCCUCUGCAGGUCAGCACCUUGGAAAGGCACGUGGGUGUCAGCGCAGCCGCAGGCCCAGCCUGUCUGCCUCCUGGAGGCCCCAGGCAUGCUGCCUCUUCCCCUGUUGCCCUGGCCCUGGGGAGCUCUGGUGCCGUCUGCCUCAUCCCCGAGGCAACGUCUCUGCUGCUGGACCAAACACGGCCUGAGUCCCUCGCAGCCUAUGCUCUGCCCACAGACACCAGAUCCACAGUUAGAACAAACGUGUGUGCCUUGGCCUGGCUGUAGGGCCUGCCAAGCGUCUGGGACUCAUGAAGGGCUCCGGGAUUUCAGCUCUGGUCCAGUCCACUGGCCUGAGCCAGCUGCAAUGGGCUGCAGGGGAGUGGGGGAGGCAGGCUCGAUCAGAACCACAGCCUGGGAGGGCCUGGCUGGGAGGCCCCUGCUCCCAGAAACUCACCUUCUCCCAGAGGGGUCUCUGUCCAGCAGGCGAGCCUGGCCCCAGGCCUCUCUGCAGCAGGCAUGGACUGGCUGGGUGACCCUCAGGGAACUGUAGCUGGUGUUCAGCAGCACUGCCGUGCUAGGCUCCACCUCCCACCUGGCGCGGCGCCUGCUCCCCAACUCCCCUUGUUCCCAAACCUCCCCCUGAACCAGCCUCAUGUCCCCCAACCAUUGGGACCAGAGUGGCAGCUGACUGCAGGUCCCAGCAUCCCAGGACAGCCCGCCACGCGCUGGGAGCCACGGCCGAGCUCCUUCCAUUCCGGUUCACACCCAGACCGUCCGAGCUCUGCCCAUCAGCCACCACGCGCUGGGAGCCACGGCCGAGCUCUUUCCAUUCCGGUUCACACCCAGACCCUCCGAGCUCUGCCCAUCAGCCACCACGCGCUGGGAGCCAUGGCUGAGCUCCUUCCAUUCCGGUUCACACCCAGACCAUCCGAGCUCUGCCCAUCAGCCACCACGCGCUGGGAGCCAUGGCUGAGCUCCUAGGGCCUGCAGAUGAACCAGUUCCUGAGCUGGGGCUGGGGACGGGCAGGCCAGGAGCCGGAACCUCUCAGUGUACUGCAUGCAUCUACACCCCACAGUGGGGAGGAGUGAAGGGUCUUUCUCUUAUUCCCUCUGGGCUGCUGAAUUUGUUGUAUUUUUUAUAGUUUGAAGAAGAGAAUAGGCACAGACUCCCCUGCCAGCCAGCCAGACACCUCCUGCCAUGUUUCACGUGUGGCAUCUGACCCCAGCUUUGGUUCAGCAGUCAGGAGUCACCCUGGUGGCUGGGAGGCCAGGGACCCCCUACCUGGGAAUCCUAAGUCCUUUGCUUUGGGAAGGCUCAUUGCCUUUGAAACUGGCCCUCCAUUCCCACUUAAUCAAGGAGGAGGAGCUUUGUCUGAAGUGCGGAGAUGGCCGUGGUCCCGAUGGAUGGGCUGCUAUUGGACACAGCAAUUUGUGGGCAGGAGACUGGACUCCACGAGCAUCUGAGCCAGGCACUGCAGGCCUGCGUCUACCCAUCCUGGGCUGGAGGGGAGGCAGGGCUGGUGUUCGAAGGGGUGGAAAUAGGACUGAGGGCUCUUCUCGGAGAAGGGGAUGCUCUUGCCUGCUGCCUUCCAUGUUCGAAGGGGUGGAAAUAGGACUGAGGGCUCUUCUCAGAGAAGGGCAUGCUCUUGCCUGCUGCCGUCCUUGGAAAGGCUCCCCACCUGGCCAGCACCCUCUCGGGGGUCCAGGGAUCUCCAGCCUGUGGGCAGUCGGCCAAGCCCCUUGGGAAAAUGAGCCCCUGGGCAGGAGGUGAGGAGGCACAGAGGUUGGUCCCCCUCAGAACGUCGGCCACCAUGACUGAGGCACUGACCGGGGAGGGCACUUGGCCUCGGGCUGUUGUCCAGCCCCCUGCGCUUGUUCCUGCAGCAGAGGCUGCAGUCACUCCCCUUCUGACUCGCCCUUCCCUUUCCUCCAUGCCGCCCUGCGCACGGCCCCUCCGAAGGUCGGGCCAGACCUUCCCCUGUGAGGUCUCCAGGGUUCCGCUCUGGGGAGGGCUGUGUUCUAAGGACCACUGUCCUUGCCCUGCCAGCACCUCUGCAGUUGUGAGAGGCCCCUUCCUUCUCUGCAGCUCAAUGAGCAUGGGGACCUCAGCCCAGCCUUCUUUCUCCCUCCGGAGGCCACACAUCUCUUGAGCCAGUCGUGGCCUCUUCCACAGCCAACUUGUCCUUGUGGCCCAGUCUGGCCUGGAGCCAGCAGUAAAUGUGACCCCAGCUUGGGAACAGAGUGCGGGCCCUGGAGCUUUGGGGAUUGUGAGGGAACAAGGCGGCCAGGCCAGGUUCUCCCAGCGGUUAAAAGGCCCACCCCUUCCCGGGUCUCAAUUCUGGGCUGAUUUCCCCAGGACAGCAUUCUUGUGUCAACUCGCUGUUACCCCAGCUGACGGCCUCACAUCUGCUGAGGCAAUGCCACCUCUCCAGAGUGAAAAGCUCCUAAGACAGAGCCAUUCUCCCCGAGUUGAUUAUUCCCUUGAAUUGUUAUAAAUCUCCCCUUGCUAUUUCUCUCUGAACAUCAUUUAUGAGCACCUUGCGUCUCCGUCGAUGAGAAAGUGCAUUAACCCUGCAGGCUGUGUCUGGGAAGGCUCUGCCCUAAUCCGUUCAGAACCAAGGCCUCGGCACCUACAGCUUCGUUUCUGGUCCUUUUUCAGACCAUUCCCAGUGCCUUCCUCUCCCUCCCAGCCCUGGGCCCUCCCAGCCGCCCUCCGCGCAGGCAGCCUGGAGCCACCUCCAGGAGGGCUGGCCGCCACUGUAAUUACAGGCGCCUCUCCGCGCCCUGGGGCUCGGCUCUGCAAAUUAAACUGUUUUCUGCUUUUUAUCUCCAUCUUCGCAGCUCUCCUUCUGACUAAUAAGUCCAGCAACUGGUGAUGCUCUUCCAAUGCUUUUACUAGGAAGCCUGAGCUUUAAUUUUCUGACAAUCACAAAGGCCCCUGGAACAGCAGCCUGUGCACGCUCAGCCGCUCCUGAGGUCAGCUGCGAGCACGUUGAUGGGGAAGGCUCUGAACGUGUUUCUUCUCAGAGCCUCUAAAUCACAUCUUCCCUUCAUUGUAGACGCGGACGGACGGCACAGUAAUGGGGUCUGUGGGAGGCUGUGCUCACACCCGCAGCUGCAGGAUAAUCGCCUCCUUCAGCAGGGCUGGGGGAGCUCAGUCCUGCCUUUCUCCCAGGGAACCUGGGGUAGAGCCCUCGGCACAUUCAUAAAACGAUGAACAAUUACCGCGCCUGAAGACCUCUAUCAUCAACCAGGGGAAACGACUGUUUUUCUGUAGCCUGUGAAUUCAGCUUUUAUGACUAAAUGACUACUUAAACCUCAGAACUCUAAGCAUUACCAUUUGCUUCCUAAAAAUAGCUGUCUCCUCUGGUCCAUAUUUAGAACAGAAAAUACACUGGGAGGAGGGGGCCCGUCACAGCCCCUGCUGCCCCACCUGGCAGGGCCUCCUUAACCCUUCCCCACUCUGAACCAGCCCUAUAGGCUUAGAGAAGGGAGGACGGGUGUGUUUUUCCCCAAGAGACAAAAGUUAACCUGAAACACAAAGGUCAUUCUCAGAUGAGCCAGCUCCUUCCAGACAGAAAGAGCACUGGGACCACGCACAACACUUCCAGGAAGU